RNAcentral lists this long non-coding RNA (347 nucleotides) under Salvia miltiorrhiza (redroot sage). RNAcentral's name for it is "long non-coding RNA (SMIL_LNC004328)". The record is from RNAcentral. Lineage: Eukaryota; Viridiplantae; Streptophyta; Magnoliopsida; Lamiales; Lamiaceae.
UCAAGUUUAGUUCAAGAGUUGAUAAUUCGGAUGAAUUUUUCUUGCGCUGGAAUAUUUUCUUUGGGCUUUUCGAUGAGAUUUGGAUUGCUAGUUUCCCUUUAGGUCAUGUGAUGUCUCGUUGGCUCGAGUUCACUUGUUUUUUUUUCGUAUAUUGUCUUGUGGCGUUGGAUGUGCUGCCAGUUGGUGCUUCGCUUUAACCUUUUAGGAAAUAUAUGAGGUGCCUUAUCUUUUGCUACUGCUACUUGCUUGGUUCUUGUUGAGGACUAGGUUGUUUUGGGUUGGUUUACGACUGUUUUCUUCUCUUCAUGGUUUACGGUUUCCUUGUUACAUUUAUGGGCGUGAUAAUG